GUCAGCUAAAUCUUAAAUGAAACAGAUCUGAAGGCCUAACUCAGCAGACUAGUCAACAGAGCCCAGUUUGACACCAAUUUGCAUGUGGCUUCAUCUUUAGGUUUCCCCAAGGAGGCAGUUAUUUUCACCUGACCAAUUGCUUGGGAUCCCAAAAGGAACAUGAUAGGUUUAGUUUUGGGGGUGAAUUCAUCAGCUUUAUCUGGUUCAUGCAGCCUUAUAAAUUUUUACUGGUAUGGGCUGAGUGAUAUGCGCAAACCUGACUUCUAAAGUUGCAUGGACUCUGUUAUGUAGCAUACAUUCCACCACCUGAUGCCAACCACACACUGCACAGGGUAACACUUUUCUUUCUUUUUUUAAAGUUGUAGAUAGACACAAUGCUUUUUUUUUUUUUUUUGACAUGGUGCUAGGACCAAACCCAGUGCCUCACACAUGCUAGGCAAGUGCUCUACCACUGAGCUACAGCCCCAGCCCAAGUAGCAAGCUUUUAAUAGAAACGGGAUGGAGAAACUGCCCCCUACUCCUCCAGGAACUCAAGAUCCCAGGCUGGGUCAGAGCAGCCUCUAGUUCCAAGUUUCUAACGUGGGAAGUUCUUGGGAUACAGCUGGAAGAGCUUGCCCUCCUGUGUGGGCUCAAAGCCGUACUUUUCCAGGUUGUCAGGACUGAAAGUGCCUUCUUUAAAGUCCUUUUGGAUAGCAGGUGCAACUGUUUCCAGGAAGAGUGCUUUGGCAGUGAGUGGUGUGUCUGUGCCUGCAGGAGCUCGGUAGUUCACAUAGGGCUUGAGCUUGAAGCCAGUCAAGUCUGGGACAACAAAUUCUGGGACCUUUUCCUUUAUCUGCACAAACUUCCAGCCUGAGGCACGGAUGCCUGUGCCCUUGGCGCCCCGUCCCUUGUUAAAGGUGCGCGGCCCUCGUUUACUGGUCCACUUGCUCAUCCUGUCUGCUCCCCGCACCAAGCCUUGAGUCACUGCGGUCAGGAAACCCAUGACGUUCCCUGCAGGAAACAGCUUUGAAAGGUCAGCACCGAGGAUGGCUGAGAAGACCCCGGACCCCGUGGUGGAAAACCUGGACUCAACCCCGAGGGGUAGAGGAUCCAGGUCGGAUCCUCCUU
This 1107-nucleotide long non-coding RNA is filed under the name Marmota monax (woodchuck). The record is from RNAcentral. Lineage: Eukaryota; Metazoa; Chordata; Mammalia; Rodentia; Sciuridae.